AACGCACAUUGCGCCCAUUAGUAUUCUAGUGGGCAUGCCUGUUCGAGCGUCAUUUCAACCUUCAGAAUAUUUCUGAUGUUGGACACUGUAGGAAACUACAAUGCCCAAAAUACAGCGGCGAAAAGCACUUAUGAGCCAAGUGAAGUAACUUAUUUUCACUACGGCGAUGGGUGAUCUUCUGCCUUCCCAUUAAAUCUCUCUCAGGUUGACCUCGAAUCAGACAGGAAUACCCGCUGAACUUAA
Molecule: unclassified non-coding RNA, 243 nt
Filed under: uncultured fungus
Lineage: Eukaryota; Fungi
Description: partial contains 5.8S ribosomal RNA, internal transcribed spacer 2, and large subunit ribosomal RNA
Source: RNAcentral